RNAcentral lists this ribosomal RNA (401 nucleotides) under uncultured Clostridium sp. RNAcentral describes it as "bacterial SSU rRNA". It matches the Rfam family "Bacterial small subunit ribosomal RNA", at positions 355 to 773 of the family's 1533-position model. The record is from RNAcentral. Lineage: Bacteria; Bacillati; Bacillota; Clostridia; Eubacteriales; Clostridiaceae.
UGGGGGAUAUUGCACAAUGGGGGAAACCCUGAUGCAGCAACGCCGCGUGAAGGAAGAAGGUCUUCGGAUUGUAAACUUUUGUCCUUGGUGAAGAUAAUGACGGUAGCCAAGGAGGAAGCUCCGGCUAACUACGUGCCAGCAGCCGCGGUAAUACGUAGGUGGCAAGCGUUAUCCGGAAUUACUGGGUGUAAAGGGAGCGCAGGCGGGAUAGCAAGUCAGCUGUGAAAACUAUGGGCUCAACCCAUAAACUGCAGUUGAAACUGUUAUUCUUGAGUGGAGUAGAGGCAAGCGGAAUUCCGAGUGUAGCGGUGAAAUGCGUAGAUAUUCGGAGGAACACCAGUGGCGAAGGCGGCUUGCUGGGCUCUAACUGACGCUGAGGCUCGAAAGUGUGGGGAGCAAAC